CAAUAGCGUAUAUUAAAGUUGUUGCAGUUAAAAAGCUCGUAGUUGGAUUUGUGGCGUACGGUGUGUUCCGGGCACUUGUUGUCUGAGUAACCUGCUGUUGCCAUCCUUGGGUGGAACCUGUGUGGCAUUAGGUUGUCGUGCAGGGGAUGCCCAUCAUUUACUGUGAAAAAAUUAGAGUGUUCAAAGCAGGCUUAUGCCGUUGAAUAUAUUAGCAUGGAAUAAUGAGAUAGGACUUUUUUGCUAUUUUGUUGGUUUGCGCAAAGAGGUAAUGAUUAAUAGGGACAGUUGGGGGUAUUCGUAUUCCAUUGUCAGAGGUGAAAUUCUUGGAUUUUUGGAAGACGAACUACUGCGAAAGCAUUUACCAAGGAUGUUUUCAUUAAUCAAGAACGAAAGUUAGGGGAUCGAAGAUGAUUAGAUACCAUCGUAGUCUUAACCAUAAACUAUGCCGACAAGGGAUUGGUGGAGUCUCGUUAUGUCUCCAUCAGC
This 486-nucleotide ribosomal RNA is filed under the name Navicula ramosissima. Its description in RNAcentral is "SSU rRNA". It matches the Rfam family "Eukaryotic small subunit ribosomal RNA", at positions 592 to 1084 of the family's 1831-position model. Lineage: Eukaryota; Bacillariophyta; Bacillariophyceae; Naviculales; Naviculaceae. The record is from RNAcentral.